UGCAGUUCCACUUCAUUGGAUAUUUAUUCAACUUCCCUCAUCAUUGUCUGAAAGUAUUUUUCUACAGGCAAGAAGGAAUAAUGGUUGUUUCAAACCAGAGAGAGAGCAAACAAUAUCUCCCCUGGAAUCAUUGGCACCAGUCCUGUCUGUAGAGAAUACAGCUUGGCCCUUCCUUCCUCAGUAUCUUCUAGACUUGAAGACUGAUUUUCUCUUCUUUGUUUUAGCAGCUUUCUGGCCUCAAUCCUUUAUCUGCUUAACUCUGUAUUUGUUGAAUGAAUGAACAAGUGCACAUACUACCAGCUCAGUCCAGUCUCCCAAAUCUGCCCAUAAAGUGAAUCAAGGGGCAUUAUUUUUAGCCACGUAAGAAAAAUGUUUUAAUAAAAUAUUUCUAGACAAUCAAAUUUAAAG
Molecule: long non-coding RNA, 408 nt
Organism: Herpailurus yagouaroundi (jaguarundi)
Lineage: Eukaryota; Metazoa; Chordata; Mammalia; Carnivora; Felidae
Exons: 2
Source: RefSeq, a predicted model, not a curated record